AAGCUUAGACGUGAGCCUGUUGGGAGGAAGGAGGACGUGCACAGUUUGCUUUUGAAAUGCUGCCAGGGUGCCCACAGAGGUUGUGUUGAUUAACAAGCCCUUCCAAGGGCACAUGCCUAAGUGAACAUACUUUCAUGCACCCUGGCUCCAAGUAGCUCAUUGAUAUUUGCCGGUAGGCUAAGUGAAAAUAAGUUGCUGCUUACACUUCUCAGAAAGGAGUUGAGUAUAUUUUAAUACAUGUCCAGGUGUUGCUUUUUCUCCCCUUUGCCCAUGUUUUCCAAUGCAUGCUUACCUUUUGCCAUUUGAUUUGGAAAGUCUUGUUUCCUAUAGAGAAAAUUAGCCCUUGGUCAGCAACAUAUUUUGCAAAUACAUGCUCCUCACAACCUGUCCUUGGUCUCAUGGUUUUCAUUGUUCGUGGCAUUUUUAUUUUCUAUCUUUAGCCCCCAAUUUUUUUUUGUCUUUCUAGGGCGGCACCUGUGGUAUAUGGAAGUUCCCAGGCUAGGGGUCGAAUUGGAGCUGUAUCCACCAGCCUACACCACAGCCACAGCAACGCCAGAUCCAAGCUAUGUCUUCAACCUACACCACAGCUCAUGGCAAUGCCAGAUCCUUAACCCACUGAGCAAGGUCAGGGAUUGAACCUGCAUCCUCAUAGAUGCUAGUCAGAUUUGUUUCCACUGAGCCAUGAUAGGAACUCCACUAAUAUUUUUAUAAUAUUUUUAUUUUAUGCAGUGAAACAAUGUUUUUCUUGACGAGAUCUCAGUUUUAUGGCGUAGGGCAUGUUUCUUUUCAGGAACACAGGAAUAGGCCUUCCCUAUUCCUGUUUUAUUACCAUCAAAUAACUCUGCUUUGUUUGCCCAGAGUCGUUGAACAGCUUAACUUUGAGACUGAGCUCUUUGAUCCAGUUGGACUCAGCCAUCCAUGGAAUAAUCCAUCCCCCCGCCCCCCGAUUUGAGUGCUUAUCAGCUUUGCACUUUGUGAUUUUGCUGAUCCUCUUCCUCAAAAGAAAACACAAGUCAAUAGUAAAUACUCCUGAUCUUUGGGUUAUGGUGACUGUUUCAAAUACCAGUCUAAGCUCCCUUAAGCUGCCUCUGCCAACACCAAUUUUUAUCAUUGUUAUUGUUGUGCUGUGUUCUCCAAAAUCCGUACGGCAAAGACCUAACCGCCAGUACAUAAGCAUAUGGCCUUAUUUGAAAAGGGGGUCUUGGCAGAGGAAAGCAGUGCAGAUGAGGUCAUAGCAGGGUAGAGUGGCCCCCACUCCGAUGUGAAGGGUGUCCUUAGAAAAAGGGGGGAUUUGGACACAAACACGUGCUCAGGGGGAGCAUCGUGUAAAGAUGAAGGCAGAGACCUGGGUGGUGCGUCUCCAAGGAACACCAAAGACUGUCAACAACCCCCAGAAGCCAGGACAGAGGCCUGGCACAGCCCUUCCAUCACCAUCUUCAGGAGAAGCCAAACUGUGGACACCAUGAUCCCAAGACUCCAGCCUCCGGACUGCAAGACAACAGCUUUCCAUUGAUAAAGCCCCCAGCUCCAUGAUGCUUCGUCAUGGCAGCCCUAGCAAACCAACACUACAAUUAUAGGGAAAGUUUUUAACUUCUUACUUACAAUGGGAGGUCAGUCCAUUUGCUGUUGGAGAAGCUUCGACGGGGAACCUGGGUGCAGGUGGGCCUCACACAGACAUCAGGCCCAGCUCAGGCCAUCCAUGAAAGGCACUCCUGGCUUCGUCCUGACCACCCCACACGGGGUGGCAUUGUGAGUGGCCAGGUCAGCAGUGGAUCGCAAAUCCCAGGCCCUCUCCCUCUGCCUACCCAAAUACCAAGUCCUUCCCCUGUGGUACAUCAGGAAAGAGCUGGCCCCCAGUCCAACCAGCAACCCAUUGUGGUGAGGCACCUCCCCCCUAGCCCACCUCCUCCACCCCUCCCUCACUCCCCCUACCUUCCCCACCUCCACUNCGGAUGCUAUCAGCUCCUAGCAGAACUCUGCCCGUUCAAGCCCUGGGCUUGGCUUCCUUCCCGUCUCCCCUCCCCCCCCCUCAGCUGGGAUCUUUCCUUCCCUCUUCCUGCAAACAAACAAACAUGCUGAGCUGCAAAAACGGACCAUUCUGACCCCUGAAGGAAGUGCAUCUGCGGUUCCUCAGCUGAGAAGUAUUAUCUGCAAUGUGCUCAUAAAACUACAGAAAAGCCAAUGGGCCGAGAGAAGGAGGCCGCAGGGAAAGGAUGAUCCUUUGGGAGACCCCGAGGAAGGAUUUAUUCUGAGAUGCUCUCUUUAAAUGCUGUUUUUAAAAAGCACGAGCCUUGCAAAUCCCUCCAGGAAUGGGGGUUUCUCAACUGCCACGUCACACAGGCACCCACAGCCACGUCUGUCACCGGGGAAUCCACAUUUGCAACACUGGCUCCUUCUUUUUCUGCAGACAAGACUUUUCUUUCGGGAUGGCUUCCUGUUUCUAUUGGAAUUUUGGGUGAUGUCUUGUGGCCCAUUUCCUCCCUUGGGAACACACAGCUGAAGAAUCAUAAUGUGAAUCAGGAUGGUCACGUGGCUCAGGGGACACGCUUUUCCAGGAAUGCGGCCCUCACUUGACGUGACGCCAGAGAUGAGAGGCAGUGGGUGGGAGCAAGCUGGAUCCACUUGGCAAGGCGGGCCUGGAUGUUGGAGCUCUGAUUUGGCCCAAGCACCCUUCCCAAGGGUCCACUGCUUCCUGAAACACCCCUGCCUUUGCUCCCGGUUGCUCCAGAGCCCCAGAAAGCUGGGGCUUGCAGCGUCUUCCCAGCUAGCUGCAGGGUGGAUGGAGCCCCUUCAUUUGUUCUCAGCAUCUUCCCAGAAGGCUGCAGGGCAGAUGGAGCACCAUCAGUAGAUCUCAGGCCGACAGAGGACCACUCUGGUCACUGCUCAGCCUGGCCCUUGCUGACACCUUUUUCUCAGACUUCUGGCUUCCAGAUUUAAAAGAGAAUAAAUCUCUGUUUUAAGCCACCCACUUUAUGGUGACUUGUCAUGGCAGCCAUGGGAAUCGAACACACCAUCCCUCCAAGUAAUCCCCCACCUUCUGCUAGCUCCUCAGAGACCAUCUAAAUAAUGUCUGUGGAAUAAAGGAACCAACAAAACAGAAAGGUCCAGGGACUAGGCCCAGGCCGGUCCCUCAAUUGGCAAGCAUCCCAGACCUCUCUUCCCCAAAUAAAUAGAGCAAUAGGUACCCAUCACCUUCAACCAUCAGCUGAGACUAGCAUCUCACACCCUACCUCAAAUUACAUAGGGGCCCAACCGCAGGUGGUAUCAGUUGGUCAAGGUGACUUCCCAGAGCCUUGACCUUCCAAAAAAACACCCUCUUUACCUUCUCUUCUUUUUUCUUAUUCUUUUGUGGCCAGCUGACUUCACUAGCAUAACUCACCAGUCACAUACACAUUCACAGAGAGAAAGUUUAAUGAACAUCAAGAUAAGAAAACAUCACUCAUGUGUUUCCUUUUGGAAUCAAAAAAGGUUAUAGAGUAUCCAACUGAGUGCAGACAUUCCUAAGGAAACAAGCCCCUCAGGGGACAGACCAGAGUGAAGCCCACAGAAUUGUGCACACGCCUCUCCUGUCAGAAGCUCCUGAUCAAAUUACAGGUUUAUAUUCAGCUCAGGACAAUACAGGAGCCUGGGCUAAAUUCACCAAUAAGCAUCUGUCACUCUCAUCUCAGACUGAAACCAACCCAGGAACUAUGCACAGAAGAUGAAGAGCAGGGCCCAAUCAGAGAAGCUUGGCGAGUAAUCAAAUUACCAUCUGGCUCUUUCUAGAUCAUCCUUCACUUAGAUUGAAUUAUCCCUGCCAACACUUGGGAAUUUCCUCCCCUAAUGUGAGAGUUUCAAGUUGUUGCAUCACAUGAAAGAUGCCAGGAAACAUCAAGCAUGAGAAUACUCAACCCUUAGAGAAGUAGAUUCAAGAGGAAAUCUGGACCUCGGCAGUGCCUUUUCUGACUGGGUUCGAGGGAGUAAGAUCUUUACUCUUGGAUUCAUAUCAGACAGAUUUCUCGAGGUUCCUUAGAAACUUUUCAGUUGACUUGGGGAGGGGCGGGGUGUCAUAGCUCCCUCCAUGACCAACAUGGUCCUCAGCCCAGGGCCUUUGAUGGGAACCUCUGGCGGAACACAAAGUCUGCCGGAAACAGGGAGCAUCGCCCACUGGGCACAGUGGACUGAGAGCCCUGAGGACCCAGAGGUGAAGGCUCAUGAGGAUGGCGGCUGCAGUGUUCUGCACAGUACACGUAUUAGCCUGGGCUCUCCAGAGAAACAGAACCAAUAGGAAAGAGGUUGACAGAUGAUAGAUAAUAGGUAGUCGAUGGAUACAGAUAGGUAGAUGAUAGAUAAAGAGUGUUAUUGUAAGGAAUUAGGUCACAUAGCUGUGGAGGCCAAGACGUCCCAAAACCUACAGUUGGCAAGUUGGGCACCCCAGAGAGCCAAUGGCGUAGGUCUAGUCCAGUCCAAAUCUGAAGAUAGAAGGCCAAGGGCCCAGCUCAGAGACAGUCAAGCAGGGGAAGGAAACCCUCUCUUCCUCCAGCUUCUUGUUCUAUUCAGACCUUUAAUGAAUUGGAUGAGCUCCACCCACUGGGGGGCGGGGGGACUCUGCUUUACUCAGCCCAGCAUAGAAAAUAUUAACUUUAUCCAGAAACACCCACGCAGACACACCCAGGAUAAUGUUUGACCAUGUAUCUGGGUUCCUGGUGACCCCAUCAAGCUGAAAGCUCACAUACAAUGAACCACCACAGUAUGGAUACCGUCGGUUUCAAUGGUUUCAGUGGCAGCCCCAUGGGCCCCACAGUCAGCUGGUCUGCUGCUCCAUGGCUCAGGCAGUGAGCAUCCUUGGAGCCUUGUGCAGUCUGAGAACUUUCGGUGUUGUGGGGGAGGGUGAAACAUACUAGAGGGUCUCUGGAAGCACAAGGUUGAGAAACAGCCCCACCCCAAGACUGAAACAGGCACGACCUUGGCAGCAGAGGAACUGUUUGGAAGCCAACAGAAACAGUGCCACCAUGCAGGUGCCCUCGUCCCUGGCUGAUGGGACCAGGGCCACAGUCUGUGGUGAGCAGAGUUCUGUUAUCUUCACACACACCAUUCUUGGCCACCUACUUCACUCUGAUCUGUCCCCAGAGGACUUGCUUCCUCAGGAAUUUCUGCACUGAGCUGGAAUCUUCAUAUGCUUUAUUCACUCCAAAAGGGGAAAAAAAAUGAAUGAGCAACAACCAAGAAUGGGCAGUUCUUUAUAGACACUCCAGGCCGGCAGGGGAAACCAGCUGAGAUUGAAUGGGAUCUACCCAUCUAGCUUUU
This 5286-nucleotide long non-coding RNA is filed under the name Sus scrofa (pig). Its description in RNAcentral is "lncRNA (ENSSSCG00040075717.1)". Lineage: Eukaryota; Metazoa; Chordata; Mammalia; Artiodactyla; Suidae. The record is from RNAcentral.